UACAGAGGUCCCAAGCGUUGUUCGGAUUCACUGGGCGUAAAGGGUGCGCAGGUGGGUUUGCAAGUUCGAUGUGAAAGCCCCGGGCUUAACCCGGGAAUGGCGUUGGAUACUGCAGAUCUGGAGGAUCGGAGGGGGGACUGGAAUUCUUGGUGUAGCAGUGAAAUGCGUAGAUAUCAAGAGGAACACCAGUGGCGAAGGCGAGUCCCUGGACGAUACCUGACACUGAGGCACGAAAGCUAGGGGAGCAAACAGG
Molecule: ribosomal RNA, 253 nt
Filed under: uncultured bacterium
Lineage: Bacteria
Description: partial 16S ribosomal RNA
Rfam family: Bacterial small subunit ribosomal RNA
Source: RNAcentral